UACGGGGGGGGCAAGCGUUGUUCGGAAUUACUGGGCGUAAAGCGUGCGUAGACGGUUAUUUAAGUCGGGUGUGAAAGCCCCGGGCUCAACCUGGGAAUUGCAUUCGAGACUGAAUAGCUAGGGUACGGUAGAGGGAAGUGGAAUUUCCGGUGUAGCGGUGAAAUGCGUAGAUAUCGGAAGGAACAUCAGUGGCGAAAGCGACUUCCUGGACCAGUACCGACGUUCAGGCACGAAAGCGUGGGGAGCAAACAGG
Molecule: ribosomal RNA, 253 nt
Filed under: uncultured bacterium
Lineage: Bacteria
Description: partial 16S ribosomal RNA
Rfam family: Bacterial small subunit ribosomal RNA
Source: RNAcentral